This 94-nucleotide transfer RNA is filed under the name Chloroflexia bacterium. RNAcentral describes it as "tRNA-Sec". It matches the Rfam family "Selenocysteine transfer RNA". Lineage: Bacteria; Bacillati; Chloroflexota; Chloroflexia. The record is from RNAcentral.
GGGGGCGGAUCGGGCCCGGUGGCUCGUGCGGUCUUCAAAACCGUUGUGGGGGGUGACGAGCCUCCCAGGUGGGUUCGACUCCCAUGCGCCCUCG